GUGUGCUGCUAGGGGCGCCCCAGACCGGGCUGAGAUUAACCCUUCGAACCUGAUCCGGCUAGUACCGGCGUAGGGAACGCAAGCACAGAACGGU
This 94-nucleotide non-coding RNA is filed under the name Gammaproteobacteria bacterium. RNAcentral describes it as "TPP sequence". It matches the Rfam family "TPP riboswitch aptamer (THI element)". From Rfam's summary of the family: Vitamin B(1) in its active form thiamin pyrophosphate (TPP) is an essential coenzyme that is synthesised by coupling of pyrimidine and thiazole moieties in bacteria. The previously detected thiamin-regulatory element, thi box was extended, resulting in a new, highly conserved RNA secondary structure, the THI element, which is widely distributed in eubacteria and also occurs in some archaea. Analysis of operon structures identified a large number of new candidate thiamin-regulated genes, mostly transporters, in various prokaryotic organisms. Lineage: Bacteria; Pseudomonadati; Pseudomonadota; Gammaproteobacteria. The record is from RNAcentral.